This 408-nucleotide ribosomal RNA is filed under the name uncultured Chloroflexota bacterium. RNAcentral's name for it is "bacterial SSU rRNA". It matches the Rfam family "Bacterial small subunit ribosomal RNA", at positions 382 to 804 of the family's 1533-position model. Lineage: Bacteria; Bacillati; Chloroflexota. The record is from RNAcentral.
CCUGAACCAGCAACGCCGCGUGGUGCGAUGAAGGCCUUCGGGUUUGUAAAGCACUUUUUGAGGGGAUGAGGAAGGACAGUACCCUCAGAAUAAGUCUCGGCUAACUACGUGCCAGCAGCCGCGGUAACACGUAGGAGACUAGCGUUAUUCGGAUUUACUGGGCGUAAAGCGCGUGCAGGCGGUUCGGUAAGUUGGAUGUGAAAGCUCCCGGCUUAACUGGGAGAGGUCGUUCAAUACUGUCGAACUUGAGAGUGGUAGAGGGAGGUGGAAUUCCGGGUGUAGUGGUAAAAUGCGUAGAUAUCCGGAAGAACACCAGUGGCGAAAGCGGCCUCCUGGACCAUUUCUGACGCUCACACGCGAAAGCUAGGGUAGCGAACCGCAUUACAGACCCCGGUAGUCCUAUCCCUA